UAGCAUAUCAAUAAGCGGAGGAAAAGAAACUAACAAGGAUUCCCUUAGUAACUGCGAGUGAAGAGGGAAAAGCUCAAAUUUAAAAUCUGGCAGUGUUUCACUGUCCGAGUUGUAACCUAGAGAAGUGUAACCUGUGCUGGACCGUGUACAAGUCUCCUGGAAUGGAGUAUCACAGAGGGUGAGAAUCCCGUCUUUGACAUGGACCGCCAGUGCAUUAUGGUUGUGCUCUCAACGAGUCGAGUUGUUUGGGAAUGCAGCUCUAAAUGGGUGGUAAAUUCCAUCUAAAGCUAAAUAUUGGCGAGAGACCGAUAGCGAACAAGUACCGUGAGGGAAAGAUGAAAAGAACUUUGGAAAGAGAGUUAAACAGUAUGUGAAAUUGUUGAAAGGGAAACGUUUGAAGUCAGUCAUGUUGGCUGGGGAUCAGCCUUACAUUUAUGUUGGGUGUACUUCCUGGUUGACGGGCCAACAUCAGUUUUGACUGCCAGAAAAAGGCCAAGGGAAUGUGGCACCUUUGGGUGUGUUAUAGCUUUUGGUCGUAUGUGGUGGUUGGGACUGAGGAAAGCAGUGCGCCGAAAGGCAGGGUUUCGACCACAUUCGCACUGAGGAUGUUGGCAUAAUGGCUUUAAGCGACCCGUCUUGAAACACGGACCAAGGAGUCUAACAUGCAUGCGAGUGUUUGGGUGGAAAACCCUUACGCGUAAUGAAAGUGAAAGUUGAGAUCCCUGUCGUGGGGAGCAUCGACGCCCGGACCAGAACUUUUGGGACGGAUCUGCGGUAGAGCACGUAUGUUGGGACCCGAAAGAUGGUGAACUAUGCCUGAAUAGGGUGAAGCCAGAGGAAACUCUGGUGGAGGCUCGUAGCGAUUCUGACGUGCAAAUCGAUCGUCAAAUUUGGGUAUAGGGGCGAAAGACUAAUCGAACCAUCUAGUAGCUGGUUCCUGCC
RNAcentral lists this ribosomal RNA (942 nucleotides) under Amanita citrina. Its description in RNAcentral is "LSU rRNA". It matches the Rfam family "Eukaryotic large subunit ribosomal RNA", at positions 36 to 962 of the family's 3401-position model. Lineage: Eukaryota; Fungi; Basidiomycota; Agaricomycetes; Agaricales; Amanitaceae. The record is from RNAcentral.